GGGAACUCGAGAUCGUCAUGAUGUUAAGGCUGUUUCAACCAACAGUGACCGCAGAGUUAGAGGCCGCAGCUUUAGCCCGAGUCCGAGCCCAAAAAGGAGACGUGGUGAGUUGGCUCGUAGUCGGAGUCGCAGUCGCAGUCGGAGAUUGGACCAUGGGCAGAAUCGCUCCAGGAGCCACAGUCACAGCAUGAGUCCGGGGCUCAACAGGCUGCCUGGACCUGCUAGGAGGCAGUCUCCAGACUCACCACCUUCCAAAAGCAAACCUUCAAUUGAUCAUCAUGCAAGCAAACCUAUUCA
Molecule: unclassified non-coding RNA, 297 nt
Filed under: Hevea brasiliensis (rubber tree)
Lineage: Eukaryota; Viridiplantae; Streptophyta; Magnoliopsida; Malpighiales; Euphorbiaceae
Source: RNAcentral